Molecule: ribosomal RNA, 492 nt
Filed under: uncultured bacterium
Lineage: Bacteria
Description: partial 16S ribosomal RNA
Rfam family: Bacterial small subunit ribosomal RNA
Source: RNAcentral
AGCGAACGCUGGCGGUAGGCCUAACACAUGCAAGUCGAACGGCAGCACAGUAAGAGCUUGCUCUUACGGGUGGCGAGUGGCGGACGGGUGAGGAAUACAUCGGAAUCUACUUUUUCGUGGGGGAUAACGUAGGGAGACUUACGCUAAUACCGCAUACGACCUACGGGUGAAUGCAGGGGAUAUUCGGACCUUGCGCGAUUGAAUGAGCCGAUGUCGGAUUAGUUAGUUGGCGGGGUAAAGGCCCACCAAGGCGACGAUCCGUAGCUGGUCUGAGAGGAUGGUCGGCCACACUGGAACUGAGACACGGUCCAGACUCCUACGGGAGGCAGCAGUGGGGAAUAUUGGACAAUGGGCGAAAGCCUGAUCCAGCCAUACCGCGUGGGUGAAGAAGGCCUUCGGGUUGUAAAGCCCUUUUGUUGGGAAAGAAGAGCAGCAGGUUAAUACCCCGCUGUUCUGACGGUACCCAAAGAAUAAGCACCGGCUAACUUCGUG